RNAcentral lists this transfer RNA (69 nucleotides) under Geoemyda japonica. RNAcentral describes it as "tRNA-Met". It matches the Rfam family "tRNA". From Rfam's summary of the family: Transfer RNA (tRNA) molecules are approximately 80 nucleotides in length. Their secondary structure includes four short double-helical elements and three loops (D, anti-codon, and T loops). Further hydrogen bonds mediate the characteristic L-shaped molecular structure. tRNAs have two regions of fundamental functional importance: the anti-codon, which is responsible for specific mRNA codon recognition, and the 3' end, to which the tRNAs corresponding amino acid is attached (by aminoacyl-tRNA synthetases). tRNAs cope with the degeneracy of the genetic code in two manners: having more than one tRNA (with a specific anti-codon) for a particular amino acid; and 'wobble' base-pairing, i.e. permitting non-standard base-pairing at the 3rd anti-codon position. Lineage: Eukaryota; Metazoa; Chordata; Testudines; Geoemydidae. The record is from RNAcentral.
AGUAGAGUCAGCUAAUUAAGCUCUUGGGCCCAUACCCCAAAAAUGUUGGUUAAAAUCCUUCCUAUACCA